This 253-nucleotide ribosomal RNA is filed under the name uncultured bacterium. RNAcentral describes it as "partial 16S ribosomal RNA". It matches the Rfam family "Bacterial small subunit ribosomal RNA", at positions 524 to 776 of the family's 1533-position model. The record is from RNAcentral.
UACGUAGGGGGCAAGCGUUGUCCGGAUUUAUUGGGCGUAAAGAGCGUGUAGGCGGCCAUACAGGUCCGUUGUGAAAACUGGAGGCUUAACCUCCAGACGUCGAUGGAAACCGUAUGGCUAGAGUCCGGAAGAGGAGAGUGGAAUUCCUGGUGUAGCGGUGAAAUGCGCAGAUAUCAGGAAGAACACCCGUGGCGAAGGCGGCUCUCUGGGACGGUACUGACGCUGAGACGCGAAAGCUAGGGGAGCGAACGGG